This 105-nucleotide ribosomal RNA is filed under the name Triticum aestivum (bread wheat). RNAcentral's name for it is "partial small subunit ribosomal RNA". Lineage: Eukaryota; Viridiplantae; Streptophyta; Magnoliopsida; Poales; Poaceae. The record is from RNAcentral.
AUGGUGACGGUGGUGGUGAACUUGUUCCCGCACAACUUCGCCGUGCACUGCGGAAAAACUAGAAGGAGGAUGAAACUCAGGAGAGGGGCACGGCACACAGCUUAG